GAUGAACGCUGGCGGCGUGCCUAAUACAUGCAAGUCGAGCGAACGGACGAGAAGCUUGCUUCUCUGAUGUUAGCGGCGGACGGGUGAGUAACACGUGGAUAACCUACCUAUAAGACUGGGAUAACUUCGGGAAACCGGAGCUAAUACCGGAUAAUAUUUUGAACCGCAUGGUUCAAAAGUGAAAGACGGUCUUGCUGUCACUUAUAGAUGGAUCCGCGCUGCAUUAGCUAGUUGGUAAGGUAACGGCUUACCAAGGCAACGAUGCAUAGCCGACCUGAGAGGGUGAUCGGCCACACUGGAACUGAGACACGGUCCAGACUCCUACGGGAGGCAGCAGUAGGGAAUCUUCCGCAAUGGGCGAAAGCCUGACGGAGCAACGCCGCGUGAGUGAUGAAGGUCUUCGGAUCGUAAAACUCUGUUAUUAGGGAAGAACAUAUGUGUAAGUAACUGUGCACAUCUUGACGGUACCUAAUCAGAAAGCCACGGCUAACUACGUGCCAGCAGCCGCGGUAAUACGUAGGUGGCAAGCGUUAUCGGAAAUAUUGGGCGUNAAGCGCGCGUAGGCGGUUUUUUAGUCUGAUGUGAAAGCCCACGGCUCAACCGUGGAGGGUCAUUGGAAACUGGAAAACUUGAGUGCAGAAGAGGAAAGUGGAAUUCCAUGUGUAGCGGUGAAAUGCGCAGAGAUAUGGAGGAACACCAGUGGCGAAGGCGACUUUCUGGUCUGUAACUGACGCUGAUGUGCGAAAGCGUGGGGAUCAAACAGGAUUAGAUACCCUGGUAGUCCACGCCGUAAACGAUGAGUGCUAAGUGUUAGGGGGUUUCCGCCCCUUAGUGCUGCAGCUAACGCAUUAAGCACUCCGCCUGGGGAGUACGACCGCAAGGUUGAAACUCAAAGGAAUUGACGGGGACCCGCACAAGCGGUGGAGCAUGUGGUUUAAUUCGAAGCAACGCGAAGAACCUUACCAAAUCUUGACAUCCUUUGACAACUCUAGAGAUAGAGCCUUCCCCUUCGGGGGACAAAGUGACAGGUGGUGCAUGGUUGUCGUCAGCUCGUGUCGUGAGAUGUUGGGUUAAGUCCCGCAACGAGCGCAACCCUUAAGCUUAGUUGCCAUCAUUAAGUUGGGCACUCUAAGUUGACUGCCGGUGACAAACCGGAGGAAGGUGGGGAUGACGUCAAAUCAUCAUGCCCCUUAUGAUUUGGGCUACACACGUGCUACAAUGGACAAUACAAAGGGCAGCGAAACCGCGAGGUCAAGCAAAUCCCAUAAAGUUGUUCUCAGUUCGGAUUGUAGUCUGCAACUCGACUACAUGAAGCUGGAAUCGCUAGUAAUCGUAGAUCAGCAUGCUACGGUGAAUACGUUCCCGGGUCU
Molecule: ribosomal RNA, 1370 nt
Filed under: uncultured bacterium
Lineage: Bacteria
Description: 16S ribosomal RNA
Rfam family: Bacterial small subunit ribosomal RNA
Source: RNAcentral